This 402-nucleotide ribosomal RNA is filed under the name uncultured bacterium. RNAcentral describes it as "partial 16S ribosomal RNA". It matches the Rfam family "Bacterial small subunit ribosomal RNA", at positions 355 to 774 of the family's 1533-position model. The record is from RNAcentral.
UGGGGAAUAUUGGACAAUGGGCGAAAGCCUGAUCCAGCCAUGCCGCAUGAGUGAAGAAGGCCUUUGGGUUGUAAAGCUCUUUUAGUGAGGAAGAUAAUGACGGUACUCACAGAAGAAGUCCUGGCUAACUCCGUGCCAGCAGCCGCGGUAAUACGGAGAGGGCUAGCGUUAUUCGGAAUUAUUGGGCGUAAAGGGCGCGUAGGCUGGUUAAUAAGUUAAAAGUGAAAUCCCGAGGCUUAACCUUGGAAUUGCUUUUAAAACUAUUAAUCUAAGGAUUGAAAGAGGAUAGAGGAAUUCCUGAUGUAGAGGUAAAAUUCGUAAAUAUUAGGAGGAACACCAGUGGCGAAGGCGUCUAUCUGGUUCAAAUCUGACGCUGAAGCGCGAAGGCGUGGGGAGCAAACA